UGCGUAGGCGGGUCUUUAAGUCAGGGGUGAAAUCCUGGAGCUCAGCUCCAGAACUGCCUUUGAUACUGAAGAUCUUGAGUUCGGGAGAGGUGAGUGGAACUGCGAGUGUAGAGGUGAAAUUCGUAGAUAUUCGCAAGAACACCAGUGGCGAAGGCGGCUCACUGGCCCGAUACUGACGCUGAGGCACGAAAGCGUGGGGAGCAAACA
Molecule: ribosomal RNA, 207 nt
Filed under: uncultured bacterium
Lineage: Bacteria
Description: partial 16S ribosomal RNA
Rfam family: Bacterial small subunit ribosomal RNA
Source: RNAcentral